Molecule: ribosomal RNA, 468 nt
Filed under: uncultured bacterium
Lineage: Bacteria
Description: partial 16S ribosomal RNA
Rfam family: Bacterial small subunit ribosomal RNA
Source: RNAcentral
GACGAACGCUGGCGGCGUGCUUAACACAUGCAAGUCGAACGGAAAGGCCCUGCUUUUGUUGGUUUCUCGAGUGGCGAACGGGUGAGUAACACGUGAGUAACCUGCCCUUGUCUUUGUGAUAACUUCAGGAAACUGGGGCUAAUAUCGGAUAUGAUCUCCUGCUGCAUGGGGGGGGAUGGAAAGUUUCGGCGGUUGUGGAUGGACUCGCGGCUUAUCAGCUUGUUGGGCGAGUAGUGGCUUACAACGGCUUUCAAGGGUAGCCGGCCUGGGAGCGUGACCGGGCACCAUGGGCCUGAGGUAGGGACCAGACUGCUACGUGCGGCAGCAGUGGGGAACAUGGCACAAUGGGCGGAAGCCUGAUGUAGAGAUGCUGCGUUCGGGAUGACGGCCUUCGAGUUGUAAACAGAUUUGGACUGUGACGAGGCGUUCGUGACGGUACCGGGUCAAGAAGCACCGGCUAACUACGUG